CUUGUAUAAAAAACACUCACAGGUUACAAACAUCGACUCCAAUAGCAAGAAACAAGACCAAAAUUACAAGACCAAUGCCAAAAUCUCACCAAACCCGAUCCACAGUUCAAACAAGAACAAAUUGCACAUUUUUUAGGUUUUUUAUGCAAUAUGAUUUCAAAUCUUUUUUUCUUUUUUGAAUCUAUGAAUACAACUAAUUAUACAAG
Molecule: unclassified non-coding RNA, 206 nt
Filed under: Hevea brasiliensis (rubber tree)
Lineage: Eukaryota; Viridiplantae; Streptophyta; Magnoliopsida; Malpighiales; Euphorbiaceae
Source: RNAcentral